UAUACGUUGGUGCAUGUGUACAUGGGGUAUUUGGUCGUAGCUAGCCAGAACAUGCAUGCCGGGACAGCACAGCAGCAACACGAAGGAUGCAGCAUGGAAUUGACUGCCCUAUUUAGCGCCAUCCAGCAGCAGCAAGUCGCGUCGCUCUAACGCUUUUUUCUAAUGACGGACGUUGUCAGAUGGAUGCAUCAAUGCAACCAACCAGCCGAUAACACUCCAUUAGAAUUCGAG
This 231-nucleotide long non-coding RNA is filed under the name Volvox carteri. Its description in RNAcentral is "long non-coding RNA (VCAR_LNC000453)". The record is from RNAcentral. Lineage: Eukaryota; Viridiplantae; Chlorophyta; Chlorophyceae; Chlamydomonadales; Volvocaceae.